AGAAGACCUCCCGUAGAUCGUGGAGCAAACGCAGAUUGUAAAAAAGCGGGAUGACGUGUGAAGGUCAUCCCGC
Molecule: small RNA, 73 nt
Organism: Pseudomonas fulva 12-X
Lineage: Bacteria; Pseudomonadati; Pseudomonadota; Gammaproteobacteria; Pseudomonadales; Pseudomonadaceae
Rfam family: Pseudomonas sRNA P31
Source: Rfam